AGUGAACGCUGGCGGCAGGCCUAAUACAUGCAAGUCGAACGGCAGCACAGCAGAGCUCGCUCUGUGGGUGGCGAGUGGCGGACGGGUGAGGAAUACAUGGGAAUCUGCCCAGUCGUGGGGGAUAACGUAGGGAAACUUACGCUAAUACCGCAUGCGCCCUUCGGGGGAAAGCCGGGGACCUUCGGGCCUGGCGCGAUUGGAUGAGCCCAUGUCGGAUUAGCUAGUUGGCGGGGUAAAGGCCCACCAAGGCGACGAUCCGUAGCUGGUCUGAGAGGAUGAUCAGCCACACUGGAACUGAGACACGGUCCAGACUCCUACGGGAGGCAGCAGUAGGGAAUAUUGGACAAUGGGCGCAAGCCUGAUCCAGCCAUGCCGCGUGAGUGAAGAAGGCCUUCGGGUUGUAAAGCUCUUUUGUCCGGAAAGAAAAACCUUGGGUUAAUACCCUGAGGUUCUGACGGUACCGGAAGAAUAAGCACCGGCUAACUUCGUGCCAGCAGCCGCCGUAA
This 506-nucleotide ribosomal RNA is filed under the name uncultured bacterium. RNAcentral's name for it is "partial 16S ribosomal RNA". It matches the Rfam family "Bacterial small subunit ribosomal RNA", at positions 29 to 523 of the family's 1533-position model. The record is from RNAcentral.